GACGAACGCUGGCGGCGCGCUUAACACAUGCAAGUCGAACGGAAAGGCCUGCUUUCCCUUGUGGAUUGCGGGUACUCGAGUGGCGAACGGGUGAGUAACACGUGAGUGAUCUGCCCCCAACUUGGGUAUAAGCCUGGGAAACUGGGUCUAAUUCCCGAUAGGACUGCAGGGUGGUGCCUGUGGUGGAAAACGAUUUUCUAGUGGUUGGGGAUGAGCUCGCGGCCUAUCAGCUUGUUGGUGGGGUAAUGGCCUACCAAGGCGGCGACGGGUAGCCGGCCUGGGAGGGUGGACGGCGACAUUGGGACUGGGAUACGGCCCCGACUCCUGCGGGAGGCAGCAGUGGGGAAUAUUGCACAAUGGGCGGAAGCCUGAUGCAGCGACGCCGCGUGGGGGAUGACGGCCUUCGGGUUGUAAACUCCUUUCGACCGCGAGGAAGCCACCUGGUUGGAAGGGUGGUGACGGUAGUGGUAGAAGAAGCACCGGCUAACUACGUG
This 494-nucleotide ribosomal RNA is filed under the name uncultured bacterium. RNAcentral describes it as "partial 16S ribosomal RNA". It matches the Rfam family "Bacterial small subunit ribosomal RNA", at positions 28 to 507 of the family's 1533-position model. The record is from RNAcentral.